This is a non-coding RNA of Cricetulus griseus (Chinese hamster), 46 nucleotides long. NCBI's taxonomy places the organism in Eukaryota, Metazoa, Chordata, Mammalia, Rodentia, Cricetidae. The record is from Rfam.
CCAAAGGCUCUUUUCAGAGCCACCCACAGUUUCAUAUGAAAUUGCU